ACAGUAAACGCCACUCUGAUUAGCCGAGGCAACAAGCAUUCGGCGCGUACUGCUGAAGCAAGUGGCUGCUCGGCUCUGUUCAGCUUCCAUCAAAUCAAAGUGAUCCAAAAUCAUCGUUUUCUACUCAGUUGAAGGUGGCGUGCGGUGUCUCCUUCAUUUUGGACGUGGCGUGAGGUGUCCUGCCCCUUAGGAGCACCUAAACAAGAUGGCUUUAAGGAUGAGACAGUGGCGAAAACGCCAAAGAGAACUCAAUCAACUUCUAUGUUAUUCUGACAGUGAUGAUGAACAUUGUGGCAUAAAAAAAAAGUGUGACCGUGCGCCUGGGACUCCGAAUAGUUGUAACAGUGACAAUGUGCCUGGAACCCCACAUAGUUUCAUCAGUAACACUGUUCCUGGGACAUCAGAUAGUUUUGACUUUGACACUGAUGUGGACUAUUGGUCUACUGACUCAGAAAAUGAACCAAAUGAUGAAGCUGAGGUGACCAGCAGCUUUGAAGAUGACCUAAGACAGUUGGCCUUAGACCACACAUCGACACACAGAGCGCUUAAUGGAUUAUUGUCCAUAUUAAGAAAGCAAGGGCACCUAUUGCCUGUGGAUUGCCGGACAUUCCUUGCUACACCACAGUGUAACACAA
Sinocyclocheilus grahami is the source of this 635-nucleotide long non-coding RNA. RefSeq lists it as uncharacterized. NCBI's taxonomy places the organism in Eukaryota, Metazoa, Chordata, Actinopteri, Cypriniformes, Cyprinidae. The transcript is spliced from 3 exons. The record is from RefSeq and is a predicted model, not a curated record.